GGGCCUGUAGCUCAGGUGGUUAGAGCGCACGCCUGAUAAGCGUGAGGUCGUUGGUUCAACUCCAACCAGGCCCA
Molecule: transfer RNA, 74 nt
Filed under: Gemmatimonas sp.
Lineage: Bacteria; Pseudomonadati; Gemmatimonadota; Gemmatimonadia; Gemmatimonadales; Gemmatimonadaceae
Rfam family: tRNA
About the family: Transfer RNA (tRNA) molecules are approximately 80 nucleotides in length. Their secondary structure includes four short double-helical elements and three loops (D, anti-codon, and T loops). Further hydrogen bonds mediate the characteristic L-shaped molecular structure. tRNAs have two regions of fundamental functional importance: the anti-codon, which is responsible for specific mRNA codon recognition, and the 3' end, to which the tRNAs corresponding amino acid is attached (by aminoacyl-tRNA synthetases). tRNAs cope with the degeneracy of the genetic code in two manners: having more than one tRNA (with a specific anti-codon) for a particular amino acid; and 'wobble' base-pairing, i.e. permitting non-standard base-pairing at the 3rd anti-codon position.
Source: Rfam by way of RNAcentral